Molecule: ribosomal RNA, 253 nt
Filed under: uncultured bacterium
Lineage: Bacteria
Description: partial 16S ribosomal RNA
Rfam family: Bacterial small subunit ribosomal RNA
Source: RNAcentral
UACGAAGGGGGCUAGCGUUGUUCGGAAUUACUGGGCGUAAAGCGCACGUAGGCGGCCUGGUAGGUCAGCUGUGAAAACUCGAGGCUCAACCUCGAGACGCCGGUUGAAACCAUCAGGCUAGAGUCCGGAAGAGGAGAGUGGAAUUCCCGGUGUAGCGGUGAAAUGCGCAGAUAUCGGGAAGAACACCCGUGGCGAAGGCGGCUCUCUGGGACGGUACUGACGCUGAGACGCGAAAGCGUGGGGAGCGAACAGG